RNAcentral lists this ribosomal RNA (468 nucleotides) under uncultured bacterium. Its description in RNAcentral is "partial 16S ribosomal RNA". It matches the Rfam family "Bacterial small subunit ribosomal RNA", at positions 28 to 507 of the family's 1533-position model. The record is from RNAcentral.
GACGAACGCUGGCGGCGUGCUUAACACCUGCAAGUCGAACGGAAAGGCCCUGCUUUUGUGGGGUGCUCGAGUGGCGAACGGGUGAGUAACACGUGCGUAACCUGCCCUUGACUUUGGGAUAACUUCAGGAAACUAGGGCUAAUACCGGAUAGGAGCUCCUGCUGCAUGGUGGGGGUUGGAAAGUUUCGGCGGUUGGGGAUGGACUCGCGGCUUAUCAGCUUGUUGGUGGGGUAGUGGCUUACCAAGGCUUUGACGGGUAGCCGGCCUGAGAGGUUGACCGGCCACAUUGGGACUGAGAUACUGCCCAGACUCCUACGGGAGGCAGCAGUGGGGAAGAUUGCACAAUGGGCGGAAGCCUGAUGCAGCAACGCCGCGUGCGGGAUGACGGCCUUCGGGUUGUAAACCGCUUUCGCCUGUGACGAAGCGUGAGUGACGGUAAUGGGUAAAGAAGCACCGGCUAACUACGUG